AGAAUGACUCUCGGCAACGGAUAUCUAGGCUCUUGCAUCGAUGAAGAACGUAGCGAAAUGCGAUACUUGGUGUGAAUUGCAGAAUCCCGUGAACCAUCGAGUUUUUGAACGCAAGUUGCGCCCGAAGCCAUCAGGUUGAGGGCACGUCUGCCUGGGCGUCACAU
This 164-nucleotide ribosomal RNA is filed under the name Astragalus williamsii. Its description in RNAcentral is "5.8S ribosomal RNA". It matches the Rfam family "5.8S ribosomal RNA". Rfam says of the family: 5.8S ribosomal RNA (5.8S rRNA) is a component of the large subunit of the eukaryotic ribosome. Lineage: Eukaryota; Viridiplantae; Streptophyta; Magnoliopsida; Fabales; Fabaceae. The record is from RNAcentral. RNAcentral also lists the same sequence under 5 other names.